GUGGUUUUAAGAGGUGCUGCUAUAAUGAAAAAUCACAGGCUCACCCAAGAACUACCGUGGAAUCAGAACCUCUAGGGAUAUGGCCCUAGAAUCUGAAUUUUAAGCCAGUUCCUGAGGUGCAAUUCAGUUUGAGAACUACAGUCUUAAGGCAAAACCUUUCUAUCAUACCAGAGCUUCCAAUUGUCAGGCCCUUUGAAUCCACCCUUUGUGUCAAACCUUAGAUAAUUCAAGAGACAUAACAAACGUGAUCAUGUUACAUGCUUCCUCACAGAUUUCAGUGUCUCCCAUUUCUUCUAUUAGUUUAAAAAACAUAGUCCACCAUCACAGGGCCCUGUUUAAGCCAGCUCCUCCUCUGUGGCUCUGCCUUUGUGGUCAACCUGUGCAAAACUUUGAGGCUGUGACAUCACUUAGUCAGUCUCCAACAUUUGGAACAAGAGAACUUUUUCUAACAAUUUGAUCCCAAUUCCUAUUUUAAGCUUGAGCAUUAUGAAGGCUGUAUCUGUAUAUAAUAUUGAACACUUCAAAACAAUUUUAGAUCUUAAUUAUUUUGUUAUUAAAAUGUUGGGGGUGUUUAAGUUGACAUUGAGUCAGAUGUAGGAACUGAUAUACAGUGAAGUUAAAUCCUUUAGGGUAAACUCAUUCAGUGGUAGAGGCUGAACUACAGAGCCUAGGCAUUCUGACAUUCCACCACUGUGCUUAUCAGCUUGCUCCUUGAGCAAACCUUUUCCUGCCUUUAUGAGAAUAUGCCCAUUUUAUGGGCUCUGUAUCUAUGAGAUAUUUUACCUAUGCUUAUGUACACAUGGUGUUUAUCUUUCAAAGCUGGACUAUGGAAAAGCCUAAUUUUACAAACAUGUUAGUAAAAGAUUAUGUAAUCUGAGGUGAUUACGUUUAAAAUGGCAAUGAUAAUGAUGUUAAUUCCAGUCCUGUGAGGUACUGUUUCUGAUCUGGAAAGAGCAGUUUUCUUUUUUAACAGCUUAUUUUGUAUUUUCAUAAUCCAUUUUAAGGUUUGGUAUUAAUAUAGACAUGAGAAAUAAAAUAUAACUGUUGCCAUGCCAAAUGUAUAUCAAAAAGUUGCUAAUAGCCAUGACUGCUAUUUGGUUAACUGUAUUUCACUAUUUAAAUAAAAUGAUGGAAAAUGGUGUGUCUAGGAUCUCAUUCAUAAUAAUGAAAGACAAUAGAAACUAUUAGCAUAGGUAUGAUGCUAAUGAAUGGUAAAUUUUCAAUAGAGAUCCAUCGACCAGAUUGUUUGAAAAAUGUUUCCUGUGGGUACGAAAAAUGCACACAAACAAACACAUGCAUCAAAAUGUCCAUAAUUAAGUUUUUAGGGAAAAAUAACAAUAUAUGUUGGUUAAGGACUUUCACUUAAAUGGCAUUAUAGAUCUUUCAGAAAUGAGAGUUGAUUUAUACUUCAGUAUUUUGGUUCCCAAAGGUUGGGACAGUGGGUGGUAGAGGAGAAGUAGAGUAAAUGGAAGGUAUACAUGUAUGUGUGUGCAUAUGGGCAACUUUAAGCACCUUGAAUUUAAUGAACAAAAAAUGUCAUUAUUCUGUGUUUAUAUAUUUUUGUGUGAAACAAGUACCUUUCUCUAUCACUGGAGUUUACAUGGAUUUUCUCAUGAUAUCUUUUGAGAAUCUCUUUAAACACUAAAAUACAUUUUUCCAAAUGAAAACUCCCAUAAUUCUGCUUUAUUAAUAUCUGAAUGAAUAUUUCCAUUGAUUUGUCCAGAAGAAGGAACUGAGUACUGUUUAGAGAGCAAUCUUUUUCAUGAUAAUUGGCAGCAAUGUUUCCCUGCUAUCAGAAAGAAAACUAUAGAAAUACGAAACUUUAGAUAAACAUGGAGAUAAAAAUAAUAUUAUGGAGUCCAACUGGUAUCUUUGAGGUGAGGACAGGCUGAGAUGGACUCCUUGGCUUCCUUCUGUCCAAAAAUUUCCUGUUUCCCUAUUUCCUACGGUUACCACCAUGGAACAUGUUAAAAUCUCAGUAGGGACUCUGUUUCAACUUUUCCUGUCAAAACACAGUGAAAAAGCUUAAUGGAAAAAAAUGUCCUUCCUAUCUCCAUGCCAGGCACAGUGUAAGAUCCACAAACUUAAAAGCCAGGAAAAUAUUCUUUUAUGUGCCCCAAAGCUGGGCAAGUGACCUAGUACUACAAAAAUUCCCAAAUAGGCAUGUGACCUGACUAAUGUGUGCUGUGAGAUGAGUCAAGAAAAAUGGAACCAUCUGUACUUUUAUUGGACAGUCAAAUAAUUUCUUUCUGUCCACCCAAAAACAUAAUUUCUAUGUUAAGAGUGAUACAAGGAGACUUUUAGAAAGUCUAAUUUUUAAAAUCAGAGAUAUUAAAAUAUAUGAAAAGUAUAACCUAUUAAACACUGGUGGAGAUAAGCAAAUAGGCUUAUGAAAUCAUUAUUGCUUUAAAAAUUUGUUACCUACUCAUUGUGUACUAAGGCUUCUCUACGACAUACAGAAGAGGCCGGUGCGGUGGCUCACGCCUGUAAUCCCAGCAUUUCGAGAGGCUGAGGCAGGUGGAUCAUGAGGUCAGGAGUUCAAGACCAGCCUGGCCAAGAUGGGGAAACCCCGUCUCUACUGAAAAUACAAAAAAAAAAAAAAUUAGCUGGGCAUGGUGGUGGGCACCUGUAAUCCCAGCUACUCUGGAGGCUGAGGCAGAGAACUGCUUGAACCUUGGAGGCGGAGGUUGCAGCAAGCCAAGAUUGCCCCACUGCACUCCAGCCUGGGUGACAGAGCAAGACUGUAAAAAAAAAAAAAAAGAAAAGAAAAAAAGACAUACAGAAGGAAAUCAGGGAAAAUGGGAAAAUGAAGGGAAUUAACAAAUUGCAAUAAUCUUUAAGAAGUAGAGUAUGAACAAUUUUCCUUUUCUAGGAUGAAAGCUACCAACAACUGAACUCUUAGAGUGAGUGAUGGCAGAAAAAAAUAGCAAUCAAGAAUAGGGGCAUGUUAGUUUUUAGACAUGUUUACAAAACUCUGCCUUUUAUUUCUUAAACCCAUAGGUCAACCACCCAUCAUACCUACAUUACCCCAUAUGACAAGUGGAUUUGUUGUAUGUUUCAAGUUUUUAAUCUUGGUGGGAAGGGGGAGGGCAGAGAAGUAUUUAUUGGUAAAAUAUCAUAAUAAAGGUUGAGCCUGUCAAUGAUUGUACCUAACAAUAAUAAAUAUGUGUAGGAAGUAAGAACGGCAAAAAUGAAGCCGGGUAGGAUACUGUGGAUAUGGUGACAGACAAGUAUCUAUACGAAAUCCUGAGAUAUUUGUCCUCCAUUUCAUAAAUUAAAGUGCCCCCUCUUUUGCUUUACAGAUAAGGAAACUGAGGUGCAUUAUAAUAGCAACAGCAGCUGAUGUGUAGUAGAUCCAUACCACAAGCCAGACGAGGCACAAGUCAACCAGAGGUUAUGCAAUUAGCUUGGAGUCAAAGAGAAAGCAAGGAGUAGAGCUGAGAAGGAAACCCCAGUGUGAACUUGAUUUUUAUUCAAUCAAACUGUUAAGAUAUGCUAAAUCCUCGUCCAUGGUUACUCUCCUUUGGAAGAG
This 3532-nucleotide long non-coding RNA is filed under the name Homo sapiens (human). RNAcentral describes it as "HSALNT0059017". The record is from RNAcentral. Lineage: Eukaryota; Metazoa; Chordata; Mammalia; Primates; Hominidae.